This 303-nucleotide ribosomal RNA is filed under the name Triticum aestivum (bread wheat). Its description in RNAcentral is "partial small subunit ribosomal RNA". The record is from RNAcentral. Lineage: Eukaryota; Viridiplantae; Streptophyta; Magnoliopsida; Poales; Poaceae.
AUGUGGCUGGGUAGUAGAGGCCAAGGUGGUCGUGGAGGGCAAGUUGGGGCAUGCCUCGACCCGAUGUAUAAGGAGAAAUAUUAUUUUCACCCUACGAAUGGAAAUACCGGUACAUGCAAUGUCAAUGCAAACAAUGUGAAUGCAAACGGAGUGAUUGCAGGCAACCAUGCAUCGGCCAAGGACCCUCCCUUGGCGCCAGGGGGAAGGAAAGUGCCAGGUCUUACAAAAUACCAUGAGGGGAAAACUGGGGCGAGCAACUCAGCUCAGGGCACCUCUUUGCAAGUUCAAGCGAAGAAAUGGUAG